Long non-coding RNA from Lactuca sativa (garden lettuce), 726 nucleotides. RefSeq lists it as uncharacterized. The record is from RefSeq and is a predicted model, not a curated record. Lineage: Eukaryota; Viridiplantae; Streptophyta; Magnoliopsida; Asterales; Asteraceae.
AAUUUUUACAUUUUUCAGUCAGUUCACAUUUUUUUUUGCGCGUCUGCUGCUCGUAAGCGGGAAAAAAGGAAAAGAUCCUCACAGCCUCUUAAAUCUCCCAGUUCUCUUCCCACCUCCUAAAUCACUUCUUGUUCUCAAGAAGCAAUUGUCAAAACGAUAGGGAGAAUACGCCUCUCAAUUUUUGAUUUUGAAAACACCUCUGAUUUUUGGUUUCUGAAAUGGAUAAUGUCGAUAUCAGCCUAAAGUCAACCCAUCAAGCAGGAAAAGGAAAUGCCAAGUAAGUGGAGGAAAAAGGUUUGUAAUCUAUUAUCCAGUCACAACCUUCGUCGCUCACCCUUUCUCUCUCUUUUUGUGUGCUAUCUCACACACUCAUAACCAUUGCAUAUCUGAGUUUGUAUCUAUAAUCUCCUUUUUCGAUCUGAGAAAAAGAGGAAAGUGAAGAUGAAGGGGUGAGUAAGGUAGAGAGAUAAGCUUCUAAGGCAGAGAGAUAAGCUUUUGGAUCUGGUAUAUGAUACAGUUUUUCAGAUCCAAAGACUAAAAAAAGUCCUUAUUAUUUAAAUUGUUUUGAACUCAGAUUCAAUAUGUUUUUUGUUUGAUUGAGAUAGAAAUACUAUUUUGUAUAAAGUAAGCUGAAGGCAUGUUUGUCAGUUAGAUAUCGAUGCGUAUUUAAGUUCUUAUAUGUUUAUAUUAACUACUUAUGGAUAAUAUAUCUGAUAUAUGUGUUUA